UUUUAAAAAGAUAAUCCUAUGUCCAUUUCACUCAAUUGCCCUUUAGAAGGGUUGAACCAGUGUAUACUCCCACCAGUCAUAUGUGGGAGUGCCUGUCUCUCUCUGGGGAGAUUUAAUAUCAAUUGAAAACUUUUUGAAAGAAUGCUGCCCUUAUUAUACCAUGCAAAUUUUGCUAUAGCUAUUGACUAUCACUUCCAAGUAAAAAAAUAAGACCACCAGGUCCAUGUCAUAAGUAGAGAACUUGACAUGGUGUCCUUCUCCUCCUCUUCCUCUCUCUUCUUCCUCCUCCUCCUCCUCUUUUCUUUCUUCUUCUUUUAAGAGAGAUAAAGUCUGUCUCUCUCUCUGUCACCCAGGUUGGAGUACAGUGGUAUGAUCAUAGCUCACUGCAGCCUCAAACUCCUGGGCUCAAGCAAUCCUAAAAACAGAGUGUCUUCUAAAGCUAUGUGUGGACUAGAAUCAUAACCAGAGCCAGAAAACCAUCAGGGCACCAAGAAGUUAUACUCUUUGCCUCCCUCUCACAACCCUCAUCAGCAGACUCAUAGCAUUUCUGCUUCUUUCAGUGCACCUGCUGACGCCGUCUUCCAGAGCCUGGUUUCCAGCCUGCACAAGACCUAUGGUGGCCACUUAAUGACAUUUUGGUCCAGCUCUUAUGGUUAUUUAACCUCACUUCAGUUUUUCAAUCCCAAAUUUCUGAACGAGGAGUCUAAUUGACCCAGCCUAUCUUCUCCUGAAUCAGUACAUCCAAGUCUGGAGUCACUUAACAGCCUUGGCGCAAGUGCCUAUCCUUUAAUCUGGUCAACUGUGGCCAGGGGACGGAGUCGUGAUAUAGAGCAUGACCAUUAGAGCAUCUGGGGAAAAAGGAGAAGAAAGUCCAUCUGUUUAUUCAAAUCCAAAGAAGGUCGUUCCUUUCUUUCAGUCACCAGAAAUCUGUGCUGUGAACUUUUCAAAUGUGGAACAUUGUUCCAUGUGAUGAAGGAUUGUAAAUUUUCUUCAUGUUAAUUCUUUUCGUUGUUGCCAAGACUUGGGGUAUUUGAAAGAACUUGAACCGGCAUUCAUUUAUUUUAAAGCAGUUAAAUAGCUAAGUCAUGGAAACAUUUCAUUUUUUUUAAUUGACAUUCUGUUUGCUCUUUGGUCUCUUGGGAAUCAAACGCCCCUAAGAGAUGCGGCUCCAUCAUUGCUCACAAUACUGUGUUUUCUUACUAAUGGGAUCAGAAGCUGAGAAAGGAAAAACAAAUACAUCAUUUAUUUGUUCAAGGAAGUGCAGAUAUUGAGACUCAAACUGACCGUGUGGAUUUUACAGAAUUUGCUUGAAGCACUCAUUCAUUUCCUAUUGAAGAGCUACUCUUGGCUCCGUGGAAUCAGAGAUUUUGAAGUAUCAUAUGACUGUAGUAGAAAUAAAGUCACAAUUUCAAAAGAGAUUUACAAAUUUUGAUGAGCAUGAUUCAUACUACGAGUUUCUUCAAUUGCCCUUAGAUCAUAAACUCUAAAUUAAUAAGUUUUCUUUAGUCAAGUUGCUCAAUUUUAAGAAAAACUCAAUCUCUGAAAUUUUAGAGGCAAGCAUAUGAAUCCGAGUAUUAUAGUACAUUUUAUGGCUAUGGGACCAAUUCUGGCUAACAUUUGGAUUUAUCUGGUUAUUAAAAAGUAUAUCUUUUUAAGAAGAAACUACUGAAAUGAAAGGAAAAAAGUGGCCGGGCUCGGUGGCUCCUGCGUGUAAUCCCAGCACUUUGGGAGUCUGAGGCAGGCGGAUCACCUGAGGUCAGGAGUUCAAGACCAGCUUGGCCAAUGUAUCGAAACCCCCUCUCUACUAAAAAUACAAAAAUUAGCCAGGUGUGGUGGCGUGUGCCUGUAAUCCCAGAUACUCGGGGGGCUGAGGCAGGAGAAUCUCUUGAACAUGGGAGGCGGAAGUUGCAGUGAGCCAAGAUCCUGCCACUACAUUCCAGCCUGGGCAACAAGAGUGAAACUCCAUCUCAAAAAAAAGCUGCUACACUUGAUGUUAAUCUAGAAUCCAAAUUGAAACCAAAUAUACUUGUAAUUUUAGACUAGAUCUGUAGGCUUACACCUGUGUACUUUGGAAGAAUAAAUUGUUGUUCAGAUUUAGAACUACGUUUAUAUUAC
Molecule: long non-coding RNA, 2115 nt
Organism: Papio anubis (olive baboon)
Lineage: Eukaryota; Metazoa; Chordata; Mammalia; Primates; Cercopithecidae
Source: Ensembl